AUUCGGAGGUCUCAAAGUUGGCAAGUAUGUGUGUCAUUCCAUUUCUACAUCUCCAAAAUGGCCGACUGCUCGGAUACGUGCGUUCGAAAAUAACAACAAGAGUGCCCUGAGAAGUGUUUCCAACUCACCGUUGUCCGUGUUGACGUCGCAGACUCCUGCUAAUCGUCCUGCGAGCUCACCUCGAGGCCGGGCGUGCUUAUAAAGGCGCUAAUGCUGACUGACGGCCCGUCAUAUUGGGGUCGCCGCACGUGACGCCGCCGCCAUGACGAUCAGCUCAACGCCAGAAGGGUCCCCGGCUGGUGGAGGCCGCGCCCAAUCCGAAAUUGAGGUGGCGGCCAUAACACCUGCAGAUGUAAAGGAGCCCAAAGGGACACGCGAUGUUCGAGAAGGUGCUUUCUGGCUGGCGGGAUAAAAAAGAACUGAGAGGAACGAAAGCCGGAGAACAAAAACGAGGAGUGGUGGGCGGCUUUAAUGGCAUACAGGUUUCUGGCUCAUCUCUUUGAUGUUUUUAGCUUGGCGUGCUCCUCUGUGGGCAGCGAGAGCAAGUUUGACCUUUAAAAAAAGCUCCAAAUGAUAGCAUGCAGCGUGAGCGCUUUCAAAGUGAAGAGGUGACACUGCUUAUGUAACGUCUACUCCAGUGUGGAGUGUUCCCCGCGUGGGAGGACGCAUGCACCGUCUGGACACAACGUACGCCUGGCGGAGCUGCCCGUGGUGCUGAAACCACCAGAACCGUGAAGACAUUAAAAUACUACUAACCAAUGCCAACAUUGUUAUAAAUAUGUUAUAUUGUUCAUGCCAAAGUUAUUCCUGACUUGUUUUGAAACUGAACAAAGAGCAUUAU
Molecule: long non-coding RNA, 841 nt
Organism: Entelurus aequoreus (snake pipefish)
Lineage: Eukaryota; Metazoa; Chordata; Actinopteri; Syngnathiformes; Syngnathidae
Exons: 4
Source: RefSeq, a predicted model, not a curated record